GGUUGCCUGGGGCAACCCUGGGAAGGUGAGGCCCUGGAUUUCCUGGUCUGGCCUCUGAGAACCUCCUAGCACCCCAGAACUCCCAGACAGAAUGUUAGGUAAUGCCAAUGAGCACAGAUCAAUCAUCUGCACAAUCUGAAGACGGAGCACUUUCCAUGGAGUGCUGAUGAAGUGCCAGGGUCCUAGGCUCCUCCUGGUGUGCCAGCCCUCGGACAAGUCUCUCAGCCUCAAGGUCCAGGAUGGCAACAUCUGUCCAAACAGCAAGAUGGAGAACAGGACAGGAUAGGAACGAAGUAGGAGAGGGGCCAAGGACUCAUGCUGGCAUCCCGCCAGCCUUUUGACACGAGUCACCCUUCCGCCACUUUAUAAAAGAAAGGUAGGCCUCUUAUCAGUGGUAGGCAAUAGCAGGGUAGUGAAAACCGUUUCCCCACCACUGCCAAGGCAGGGAAUAGAGGCUGCAUUGUCCUUAGAGAAUUGUAAACGAGUAACCAACCAAAAGUUCUUUGUUAUCCCCUGGGCCAGCAAUCCUAAACAAUGUCAGUGAUAAAACAUUCCUCCCUGAAAAAGUAUUUUAUUGGUCUAAGUUCUAAAUCUAAAUAAAUGCUGUCAUUACCA
Molecule: long non-coding RNA, 615 nt
Organism: Pan troglodytes (chimpanzee)
Lineage: Eukaryota; Metazoa; Chordata; Mammalia; Primates; Hominidae
Exons: 2
Source: RefSeq, a predicted model, not a curated record